AGCAGUAGCCACGGUAAUACAGAGGGUGCGAGCGUUAAUCGGAUUUACUGGGCGUAAAGCGUGCGUAGUCGGCUUCUUAAGUCGGAUGUGAAAUCCCUGAGCUUAACUUAGGAAUUGCAUUCGAUACUGGGAAGCUAGAGUAUGGGAGAGGAUGGUAGAAUUCCAGGUGUAGCGGUGAAAUGCGUAGAGAUCUGGAGGAAUACCGAUGGCGAAGGCAGCCAUCUGGCCUAAUACUGACGCUGAGGUACGAAAGCAUGGGGAGCAAACAGGAUUAGAUACCCGGGUAGUCCCUGUCUCUUAUAU
This 303-nucleotide ribosomal RNA is filed under the name uncultured bacterium. RNAcentral's name for it is "partial 16S ribosomal RNA". It matches the Rfam family "Bacterial small subunit ribosomal RNA", at positions 507 to 809 of the family's 1533-position model. The record is from RNAcentral.